GGUUUUCGGACCUAGAGACCGGCGCACGGGUGCGUAACGCGUAUGCAAUCUACCUUUUACAGAGGGAUAGCCCAGAGAAAUUUGGAUUAAUACCUCAUAGUAUAGUACAACCGCAUGGUUGAACUAUUAAAGUCACAACGGUAAAAGAUGAGCAUGCGUCCCAUUAGCUUGUUGGUAAGGUAACGGCUUACCAAGGCAACGAUGGGUAGGGGUCCUGAGAGGGAGAUCCCCCACACUGGUACUGAGACACGGACCAGACUCCUACGGGAGGCAGCAGUGAGGAAUAUUGGUCAAUGGGCGCAAGCCUGAACCAGCCAUGCCGCGUGCAGGAUGAAGCAUCUAUGGUGUGUAAACUGCUUUUGUACGAGAAGAAACACUCCUACGUGUAGGAGCUUGACGGUAUCGUAAGAAUAAGGACCGGCUAACUCCGUGCCAGCAGCCGCGGUAAUACGGAGGGUCCAAGCGUUAUCCGGAAUCAUUGGGUUUAAAGGGUCCGUAGGCGGUUUUGUAAGUCAGUGGUGAAAGCCCAUCGCUCAACGGUGGAACGGCCAUUGAUACUGCAAGACUUGAAUUAUUAGGAAGUAACUAGAAUAUGUAGUGUAGCGGUGAAAUGCUUAGAGAUUACAUGGAAUACCAAUUGCGAAGGCAGGUUACUACUAAUAUAUUGACGCUGAUGGACGAAAGCGUGGGUAGCGAACAGGAAUAGAUACCCUGGUAGUCCACGCCGUANACGAUGGAUACUAGCUGUUCGGAGCAAUCUGAGUGGCUAAGCGAAAGUGAUAAGUAUCCCACCUGGGGAGUACGUUCGCAAGAAUGAA
RNAcentral lists this ribosomal RNA (818 nucleotides) under uncultured bacterium. Its description in RNAcentral is "bacterial SSU rRNA". It matches the Rfam family "Bacterial small subunit ribosomal RNA", at positions 75 to 898 of the family's 1533-position model. The record is from RNAcentral.